CACGUAGGUGGCAGCGUAAGUCAGAGGUGAAAGCCCUCGGCUCAACCGAGGAAUUGCCUCUGAAACUGCACUGCUUGAGUCCGGGAGGGGGGAGCGGAAUUCCCAGUGUAGCGGUGAAAUGCGUAGAUACUGGGAGGAACACCGGUGGCGAAGGCGGCUCCCUGGACCGGUACUGACACUGAGGUGCGAAAGCGUGGGUAGCAAACA
Molecule: ribosomal RNA, 207 nt
Filed under: uncultured bacterium
Lineage: Bacteria
Description: partial 16S ribosomal RNA
Rfam family: Bacterial small subunit ribosomal RNA
Source: RNAcentral